This 781-nucleotide ribosomal RNA is filed under the name uncultured Neocallimastigales. RNAcentral's name for it is "partial large subunit ribosomal RNA". It matches the Rfam family "Eukaryotic large subunit ribosomal RNA", at positions 24 to 635 of the family's 3401-position model. Lineage: Eukaryota; Fungi; Neocallimastigomycota; Neocallimastigomycetes; Neocallimastigales. The record is from RNAcentral.
UAUCUCUGUAGAGUCUGCAUAUCAAUAAGCGGAGGAAAAGAAACUAACUAGGAUUUCCCUCAGUAACGGCGAGUGAAGCGGGAAGAGCUCAAAUUUGAAAUCUUCAAGGUUUUACCUUGACGAAUUGUAGUUUAAAGAAGUGUUUUCUGUUGGUGUUUUGGUAAAAGUUCUUUGGAAUAGGACAUCAUAGAGGGUGAGAAUCCCGUAUUUGACCAUUACUUCCAGCGUUGUGAUACACUUUCAAAGAGUCGGAUUGUUUGGGAAUGCAGUCCAAAAUGGGUGGUAAAUUUCAUCUAAAGCUAAAUAUUGGCGAGAGACCGAUAGCGAACAAGUACCGUGAGGGAAAGAUGAAAAGAACUUUGAAAAGAGAGUUAAACAGUACGUGAAAUUGUCAAAAGGGAAGCGUUUGACACCAGUGUUGUUUUCUCGAAAAUCAAUUAAAAAAGGCUAGGAUUUUGUAUUGUAAUUGACCUUUAUCAGCUUUACUGCUACUCUUUUCUUGUCUUUUUUAAUGCACUUUUCGUUUAACAAGUCAACAUCAAUUUCUUUUGUUGUAAAAGAGUCAUUGGAAGGUGGCUUUCACUUCGGUGAAAGUGUUUAUAGCCUUUGGCUUCUGCAAUCAGGAGAGAUUGAGGUCUGCAGCGUAGAUCCUUCGGGGCUAGAUACGUAGAUGCUAAGUUAUAGUUUUUUAUAGACAACUUGUUGACUAUAAUUAAUCAUGUAGCUUACUCGUUUGCGCUAUUUUACCUACGCUUAGGAUGUUGACGAUCAGCUGAGCGCG